This 253-nucleotide ribosomal RNA is filed under the name uncultured bacterium. RNAcentral's name for it is "partial 16S ribosomal RNA". It matches the Rfam family "Bacterial small subunit ribosomal RNA", at positions 524 to 776 of the family's 1533-position model. The record is from RNAcentral.
UACGUACUGUGCGAAUGUUAUUCGGAAUCACUGGGCUUAAAGGGUGCGUAGGCGGCCUGUUUAGUCAGACGUGAAAUCUCACGGCUCAACCGUGGGGCUGCGUUUGAAACUGGCAGGCUUGAGAUGGCUAGGGGUAAGUGGAACAGCACGUGGAGCGGUGAAAUGUGUUGAGAUGUGCUGGAACGCCGGUGGCGAAAGCGACUUACUGGGGCCAAACUGACGCUGAGGCACGAAAGCCAGGGGAGCGAACGGG